CUAUGUAUGAUUCAUUCAGCAGCCUCUAUCCUUUUACCCAGCCUUUCCCAGUUCAUUUUCCUUGUGAAAUGAGCCCUGUCCCUAGCACCACGUCAGCAGCAUCAGGAGUGGUGCAUGUGACUAAUCCCCAAACCCUCAGGCAGGGAUCACAGCAGGAUGGUCUGUCCCUUCUCUCCCAUGUGUUCCCUCUCGGAUGUUUUCCUCCAGGGUUACAAUGAGACAGGGUGUCAUUCAAAGAUGUCAAGCACCCAACAGCUCCUGUUGGUUUCAGCACUUUUGAAAAUCAGGUCACUUCAGGAAUGUACCUGUUGGACAAUCAAAGGAGUUGCUCCAUUCCUAUGGACCCCA
Long non-coding RNA from Mauremys mutica (yellowpond turtle), 348 nucleotides. RefSeq lists it as uncharacterized. NCBI's taxonomy places the organism in Eukaryota, Metazoa, Chordata, Testudines, Geoemydidae. The transcript is spliced from 3 exons. The record is from RefSeq and is a predicted model, not a curated record.